RNAcentral lists this ribosomal RNA (207 nucleotides) under uncultured bacterium. Its description in RNAcentral is "partial 16S ribosomal RNA". It matches the Rfam family "Bacterial small subunit ribosomal RNA", at positions 568 to 774 of the family's 1533-position model. The record is from RNAcentral.
CUCGUAGGUGGUUUGUCGCGUUGUUCGUGAAAACCGGGGGCUUAACCCUCGGCGUGCGGGCGAUACGGGCAGACUAGAGUACUGCAGGGGAGACUGGAAUUCCUGGUGUAGCGGUGGAAUGCGCAGAUAUCAGGAGGAACACCGGUGGCGAAGGCGGGUCUCUGGGCAGUAACUGACGCUGAAGAGCGAAAGCGUGGGGAGCGAACA